UCUGCUGUUACAAAUAAAGUUCAGGAACAUUGGUGACUAAUUUUAGUGUUGCAUCAACCUAACUGACUGUAAGUCUUCUGUCUUAAACACAGACCAAAUCAGGCCAGGCUUGCCCCAGUAAGCAACCAACUACACGUCCCAUUUCUUUAGGGUGUGAUAACAUCAAGAAUAUAAACAGUAAAAUUGAUGUUCCACAUGAAAGGCAGCCAUUUCAGCCAGGUAGAAGAGCUUUCUCUCAAGAUAACCAUCACAUUUCAUUAUGCAGAAGUAUAUGAAAGGAUAUUACUUCCAGUUUCUCUAGGUUCAAAAGAAAGAGGAGUGAAGAGGAGUAAAACACACAUCUAUUAAAAAGCAAGAAGAUUAAAUAAAUUGAAGCUUUUUAUUUCUCUUUCUCUGCCUAAGUGACGCAUUUGUGAGCAUGACUGUCAAAGAAGCAAAUAAGCAUGUAGAAGGUGACUUUAUGGCGGCAUCCAUAAAGAAAAUUGAAGUGGGGGAAGUGGCAACGUUUUGGGUAAUUCAGGAAAGUGAGGGAAAUAUAUAGUUUGGAUUCUGAAUUAUUUAUUCAGGCUUUCUAUGUUAAUCCAAUCCAUCUUAGUUGUUACUCAAUUUUACAUUUCCUGUGUAGCUGUAGGCUGUAAUAUGUUCCUUUUAGUGUGAUCCUAGUAGA
RNAcentral lists this long non-coding RNA (667 nucleotides) under Homo sapiens (human). Its description in RNAcentral is "HSALNT0310115". The record is from RNAcentral. Lineage: Eukaryota; Metazoa; Chordata; Mammalia; Primates; Hominidae.